UCUACACUCAUCAGAUCAGUCCACUCUCUAUUACUGCAGGAACUACAGACUUCAAAAAUCCUUUCUACAGAUAGAAGUCCAACUUUGAAGCGACCAGACGGGACUUUAGCGCUCAUAUGUGGAGUUUAUUUGUGAAUCUCGAGUGAUUUGAGCAGAAGUUUGAGUUGGUUUUUAAGCUUUUACAGGCGCUAAUGUUAGCCUGUUAGCUCUUAUUAUUUCCCUAUAAACCUCUGAUCAAAUCAACAUGAAGAUCACUGUGGAUUUUGAAGAGUGUCUCAAAGAUUCACCUAGAUUCAGGGCAACAAUCGAGGAAGUGGAUGGCGACGUCAGUGAGCUGGAGUCCAAACUAGACAAGCUUGUGAAGUUGUGCAUUGGAAUGAUAGAUGCUGGAAAGGCAUACAACACGGCCAACAAACAAUUUGUGAACGGAAUUCGAGAGUUGGCUCAGCAGUCUGCCAAGGAUGAUGUCAUCGAGUCCAGUCUUUCCAAGUUUGCUGAGAGUCUUCAAGAGAUGAUCAGCUAUCACACAAUUUUGUUCGACCAAGCACAGCGAUCAAUCAAAUCACAACUGCAGACGUUUGUGCGAGAGGACCUUCGGAAGUUUAAAGAAGCUAAGAAACAAUUUGACAAAGUGAGUGAAGAGAAAGAGGUGGCUCUGUCCAAAAAUGCCCAGGCACCUCGCAACAAACAGCACGAGGUGGAAGAGGCCACCAACAUCCUCAACGCCACACGCAAGUGUUUCCGACACAUUGUUCUGGACUACGUACUUCAGAUUAAUGUGCUCCAGUCCAAGAGACGAUCAGAAAUUCUUAAAUCGAUGCUGUCCUUCAUGUACGCUCACCUGACCUUCUUCCAUCAAGGUUAUGAUCUGUUCAGUGAACUACAACCCCUCAUGAAACAACUCACCGGACAGCUGGAUCAGCUGGUGAUGGUCUCAGCGAAUGAGAGGAAGGAUAUGGAGACCAAGCACUCCACUAUUCAACAGAAGGACUUUUCGAAUGAUGACACCAAACUGGAAUAUAAUGUGGAUGCCGAGAAUGGGAUUGUCAUGGAGGGAUAUCUGUUCAAGAGAGCCAGUAAUGCCUUCAAAACAUGGAACAGGCGAUGGUUCUCAAUUCAAAAUAAUCAGCUUGUGUAUCAGAAAAAAUUUAAGGAUAACCCUACUGUUGUGGUGGAAGACCUACGGUUAUGCACCGUCAAACACUGCGAGGACAUCGAACGCCGCUUCUGUUUCGAAGUUGUGUCUCCAACAAAGAGUUGUAUGAUGCAAGCGGACUCUGAAAAACUCAGACAGGCCUGGAUCAAAUCCGUCCAAAACAGUAUUGCUACAGCCUUCAGGGAUAAAGCAGAGGACACUGAGAAGAUGGACAGGAAGUCGUCUCCAUCUACAGGCAGUCUGGACUCGGGUGUAGAUAAGAAGGAGAAGACUCUUAAAGGUGACAGUGCGCUGCAGAAGGUGAUGGCCAUCGCUGGCAAUAGCACCUGCUGUGACUGUGGGCAGCCUAACCCGUGCUGGGCGAGCAUUAACCUGGGCAUCACUCUCUGCAUUCAGUGCUCGGGGAUACACAGGAGUCUUGGAGUUAAUUUCUCUAAGGUCCGAUCUUUGACACUGGACACAUGGGAGCCUGAACUGCUCAAGUUGAUGUGUGAGCUGGGAAAUGGUGUCAUUAAUCAAAUCUAUGAGGCACGCCUGGAAGAACUUGGAUCCAGAAAACCACAGCCAGGAGAUCCCAGGCAUGAGAUAGAGGCGUACAUCAAAGCCAAGUAUGUUGAGCGAUGGUUUGUCCAGAGACGGUCAGAAGAUGAGAUCAAAGAGAAGGUUCUAUCAUUGAGUAAUCCAGAUAAACGUCUCAGCAGCUGCUCAGAAGCUCCGCCUACAAGACAACCAGCAACAUCAAAACCCCCACCCGCCUCUGGUUCCUCAGUGAAACGUACAGAUGUUGAAAGAGAGAACCUCACAGAUGAAGGCAAAGGAAUGCUGAAUACAACUGCAGCCUCCAACACACUCAAUGACAUGGAGUCGUACGUCACGGAUCCUCCGGCUGAAUGUUUUAGUAAAGAUGUGCUGGUGUUCUGUGAGCCGAAGCAGUUCACUGCAGGCUUGCAGCUGUACUGGGCAUCAUUCUCUCGCAGUCUGCCUGACAUGGCUGAAGCUCUUGCACAUGGAGCCAAGGUAAACUGGACCAACACGGAUGAUGACAACAGGACGCCCCUCAUUAUGGCCGUACAUGGGGGAUCUCUGGUCACCUGUGAAUUUCUUCUGCAAAAUUCAGCCAGAGUGAACCAAAAAGACAAUAGAGGCAGAGGACCAAUACAUCACGCCACCAUUCUGGGCCACACGGGACAAGUGUGUUUAUUCCUGAAGCGAGGAGCCAAUCAGAACGCAGCAGACAUUGAGAAUAAAACGCCACUGUCAAUCGCAGUCGAGGCAGCUAACGCUGAUAUUGUCACGCUGCUUCGACUGGCAAAGAUGAAUGAGGAGAUGCGGGAAUCAGAGGGUCCUUACAGUCAGUCAGGUCAGUAUAACUCUAUCAGCCCUACUGAGAUGCAGUACAGGAAGUGUAUGGAAGAGUUCAUUAGCUUACAGCUCAAAGACUCCUAACACAUACUGUACAUUACGUGACCAAAAUCUCCAAAGCCUGCAGCAUAUGUAAAAUAUCUGUGAAUGUACACCGCUCAAGCUUCAAUUCACCCCCGGAUGGGUUGAUAUAGCCUAGUAUUUUAAAGCUAAGCAUCUUAUUUAUUAACAGUAGUUGGUCAAAGGUGCAAUAAGUAGAUUGUAAAGUAGUAUUGAACACAUAUGCACCUUAUUUACAUUUGUCUGAAUGCAAAUACUGGUGCUCAUUGAUGGUAGCGUAUUGAAUUACUCUAUGAUCCAUGAGUGAAUGUAUGUUUGUUUAUGAUCGUUCUGACACAUUCCUGAUAUAUAAAUCUUCAUUCGAUGUACUUGAGACUAUCUCAGUAAGUUUUGGAUACAUUUUUAUUACUAUUAUAUUGAAUUUAUGAAAAUGAAUAAUUAUUAUGAAUGCAUAACAUAGUGUUAAUAAAACGGAUACCAAACAGAAAGCACUUUAGCUCAAUUGUUUUAGCUUAUUUUUAUUGAAAUAUUUGAUUUGUAUCUACAUAAAUGAAGUACUUUCAGAAUUAUCCAUUAAUGAAAGUGAUUAGCAUAAGAGACAUGAUUUGUAUAAUUAUUUAAAAAAUGUUGAAUGUUGAGAGACCAAAAAAAUUAUAUACAGUAUAUAUUUCUUAAUAUAAUGUGGAAUUAUGUUUUUAGGUGUAGAUAUAGGAAAAAGGAAAAACUAUAAAAUGACAAUGUAAAGGUUCAAUUAUAUGACUAUAUUUAUGAAUAUUAUUAUAUUUUGUUAUAUAUUUCAAGUGCAAAAAUGAAAAGUGAUUGUAGUUAAGGAUGUUUUGACACAGAGGGGCGUUGUAGAGCAGGAUUUUACACCUGAUGCUGUUUGGAUCUGGUGAAAGUUCAGCCUGAUUCACAAGGUCCUCCAAUCAGCUUUAUUUAUUUACUGGGAUCUGAAAUAUAAUCCCAUAAACUGCAAUCCUUAAGCAUACUUCUGCUUUCUUGAAUGUAAAAGAUGUAUAAUAACAUAUUCUCAGGUUUAAUCGAAAUGCAAAUGAAAAAAAAAAACUUUCUUAAAGAUGAAAGGUGCGGUUUAUUAUUCAGAGUACCAGUGCAAAUGUAUGUAAAAACCAUAAAACACUGUUGUAUGUUAUUGUAGAUUUCUGAGCUGCUGUCUUUUUCUGUUAUUCUGUUACUGUUAUGCCACUUUGAGAUAUUUGAUCAUUUCUGUCAAGUUAAAUACUUUAAAGGAACAUUCCAGGUUCAAUACACAAGUUCUGUUGACUUUGUGACAUGCUGUUGAUUACCACUUAGAAUAAUUUCACCUCAUCCCUCAGUUAUUUUAAAGAAAUCGUCUUGAGACUAUACUCUAAAAGUGUAUGUAAUAGUUCUCCAGUUUCUUUGUGGACUUCCAUCGUUGGUGUCUGUCUAUUAUGUAAUAUUAAUUAUGAUAACAUGAAUCUAGUACUAUUAAAUGCAGACUGACCUUGUCUGUGUAAAGUUGUACACAAUUUUUCAACCCCUGUCCUGAACAUGUAAAGAGAUAAACUGGUACCUUUCACGCAAAACCAGAUAAGAAAUUUUUUUACAUGGGAAAAUAAAAAUGGCAAUUACUACUUCUGUCUAGAAAAGUAUCCCCGCUGCCAAAAGGUCAAGUCAGGCAACUGUAACGGCUCAAAUAACAACAAGAGUGUUUUUUCAAGCCAUUGGACGUAUUCUGUCAUAUAAAGCAGCAAAAAAACUGCAACAUUUUCCACAAUACAAGGAAAGGACGUUUUUUAUUGAGAAUUUCUUUUUUUUAUCCAAAUGAAAGGAUAAGUUAGACAACUUUACAGCUCAAAUAACACAUUUCUGUGUGGAAUUAAUCUUUCAAGUGCUUUAUUCAAAAGUGUCUGCUUUAAAUGCUCCAGAAGUCUUGCCCCGUAGACUUCUUUUAAUUGCAGUACUUGAAACAUCAUUUUUUCAUCAACAAAAAAAUCAAUGUUAUGUAUUGAACCUAGAACAUACAUUCAUAUCUUCACACUCAUUUGUUACAUGGUCAGAGAGAUCUGAUAUAUAGUCUUCAUAUACCAGAUGUAAAUAAAUAUACUUCAUAAGCCAUAGUUUGUGUCAUGUCCGUUUCAACUCUUCAUUUCCUCCUUUCUCUCUUGCGCUCUGCUAAACUCUUGAGUUUCUCAUCUGAAGUACUGCAGGAGAUGAAACAUACAAGGACAUUUUCCAAGACUUUACCCAGAUGGCAUCAAAUGACCCUGACAAACUCAACCGCUUCUGAACACACGAAUAAACCUCCAACAGUAUAGCACACCACGCCAACCUCCACAGAAAUGCAGUUUGAUAUUUACUAGCAUUUUUAAGAACUGUGUGUUUUAUUGGAUUGACUACUGAAUAUUGGCCAUGAUACAAAGUAUAAAAUGUACUCAUUGUUUUGUGAUAUUUCAGUGAAUUCUAAUGAAACUGUCAGAGUUUAUUCAUGUAUCGAUGGUAUUUUGGGUGACAAAUUAUAUUGCACUCACACCAGUUAAAUAUUGACAUUUUAUUGUAAAAUUCAUUACAAGCGUUUUUUUUAUAUUAUAUAUAUUGUUUCUCAGAUGAACAGCGAGAAAUUUGUGUUCUUUUGAGCCGUUGGACGUGAUAGACCUCACUCAUGAAACAUGCUGUAAAUCCUGCUCCUGCUUACACAAAUGGACGCAUUGAAUUUUACGUUAGAAUAGAUUUACGAAGUAUUUGCACAGAAAUAUUCUGCUUGUACAUUCUUUCAUAUUGAAUUGAAUGUGACAAUUUAUGCAAGAAUGUUUUUGCAAAAGAGUUACACAGAAUUCAUUGUGCUCAUGUAAAUCACUCAUAAAUCUGUUCUUAUAGAAAUUGUGCCGUUCAAUUCAAAGCGAAUGUUUUCUCAAACUAUUUCCAAACACAUUUUCUGCUUGUGUUUCUUGAAAGAUGCCCAUGUGUUUGUAGAUAGCAUCUCAAUAGCUAUACUGAGGAGGGUAACAUUUACGUUUACCUGUACAUGGUAACACAAUUCCUAAAAAAAAAAACAAUACAUUUACUGUAUUUUUUGUGCUCUCUGCAUGUUUGUAUGUGCUUAAUUGCUGUUUGAUGAUGUGCCGCUGUUAUUGCGCAUUUUUUAAAGACAAAACUUGCGUGGCAUUUUUACAUUAGCAUGUGAACCCAUCCCAACUCCUUUAUAUGUGCAUACAGUAUAGAGUGAAUCAUAAUCAUACCACAAUAUAUGGGGUGUAAAUUGUCUAUAUUCUGUACAUUCAUCAUCUUGGACUGGGAAGUUUAUUUUGUAGUACUUUAAAUAGUGUAAUAAUCUUUGGUGCUCUUUUAAUUGUAUUUUUUGUGCUUUUUAUUCAACAUGCUGUAUUCAAGUCAUUUGACAUUUGUAUCCACUGCAAAUAUUUGACUGUGAAAAUAUAUCAAGAUAUAUUAUAAAUUGUUUUCUAAGGUUUUAAUGAAUUAUUUUUCUUUGACCAUAAUUAUAAUUUAAAGGACUUUAUGUGCAACAUGUCAGCCAUGUCUCUAACCCUCUUCAGUAGAACUAUUCAUAAAAUUGAAUAAAAACACCCCGUUUUG
Molecule: RNA transcript, 6151 nt
Organism: Xyrauchen texanus (razorback sucker)
Lineage: Eukaryota; Metazoa; Chordata; Actinopteri; Cypriniformes; Catostomidae
Gene name: arf-GAP with coiled-coil, ANK repeat and PH domain-containing protein 2-like
Exons: 23
Source: RefSeq, a predicted model, not a curated record